CCGAAGUGGUUCAGGUGUGCAGAAGAGUUAUGGAACAAUGCCCAAGUGAGACUCCAGCCCACUGUCAGAAGGAGCAAGCGGAUCGCCACUGCUCUCCACCAGGAACCUCCUGCUCCGCUUGACCUGUAAGAAGCUGAGUCCCCAGUUUGUGGGGUCCUCCGGAGUGUCAACAAGAUUUUGGGCGGAGUAAACCCUCUUCCUGUUCAGUUUAUCCCAUGGUUACAUCCAAGGACAAAUUUAUUGAACUCACCACUGCAGUUCAUCUGGCAAAGGUUCAGAGACGGAGUGGAGCCGUUGGCACAGAUCACACGGUCGCUCAGCUGAAACAAGCCGUAGAGGGUCCACAUGGUCUCUUCUUCGCUGGUCUCCUCUUCGCUGGAGUCUUCUUUUCUGGAGUCCUCUUUUGAUGGGCUGAACUGAUGACUUUCAGCGCUGGAUGAAUCUCCGUGAGAAUCCCCAGCGUGUCUCUUACCCCUCCUAGUAGUGUGCUCAGGGUGGGUAGGACGGGUCGGACGGUUAUCAUCCUUAGCAGGGCGGGUAGGGCUGUCAUCAUCAUCCCUCCAAGGAGUCACAAAACGGGUGUUGAAACCUGUGGCCUUCUCUACGUGGCAGACGACUGGAAGAGGCAAUGACAAUUGAGAGUUACUUUACAAUCGGACUCCUAAGGGCCGAUUUCCCCAUACACAGAUUUAGCCUAGUCUUGGAAUAAGAAGCCAUUUCAAUGAAGAAUCUCGAGAAAUGUUUCUUAGUCCAGGACUAGGCUUAAUCCGUGUU
Molecule: long non-coding RNA, 774 nt
Organism: Oncorhynchus tshawytscha (Chinook salmon)
Lineage: Eukaryota; Metazoa; Chordata; Actinopteri; Salmoniformes; Salmonidae
Source: Ensembl